GAUGAACAGAUACUAUUAAUUGCUGGACACUUUAAAUAUUGCACCAACGUGAAGUCCAUGUAUUGGUACUAAGGACUUUAGGCGAGUGGUGUUAUUUACUACUAAAAAUGAAUGUUUCGGUUUAGACAGUUUUUAAGCAACUGUAUAUUGUACAUGUGGAAAAUAUGACCAAUUAGAAUAUGUGAGUUAAAUGAACUACAGGAAACCCAGUAAAUUCCUUGUUAGUUUUGAACUCUGCUUUCAGUAGCUUCAACCAAAAUCUUUGAAGUCAUACCUGGCUAGGCUGUUGGUAACCAACACACUCUUCUACUGGCCAGAAACAUCCAGUACCAAACUGCUAUCCUCCCCCUUCUUUCCCCGUUUCAACUACCACUGUGUCUAGCCUGUGUUAAAACAGUGUCUCCGAGCUGAUUUCCCACAUUACCUUCUUGCUCACUUCAGCAUUUACCCACACAAGGACCUGAGUGAAAAAGUGUUUCUUUUUAAAAAUUGGAUCACCCAAGUCUAUUCCAAACCUUUUCAUGGCUUGCUUUCUCACUCAGCAAAAUAUAACAGUCUUCCUGCUACCUAUGCAACAUUGUGCUGUGGUCCCUCCUCUCCCAGCUCUUUCCCUAACUCAGUCCUGAAGUCACAAGCUGGGCAUACUGCUGCCAUUACAGGGCCAUUACACUGGCUGUUUCUCCCUGCCUGGCUGUCCUCCCCAGACAUCCUCAGGUCCCUCCCUUCCCUCUAGCAUAAUGGCUUCCAAGUGGUUCUAUUUAAACUGCACACUUAACAUCUCCUAUUUCCCUUUCCUGCUGUAUUUUUCUCUUAGCAUUUAUCUCCAUUGGUUUCCUGGGACUACAUAAACAAAUUGAGUGGCAUAAAAGAAUAAAUUUGUUCCCUCACAGUUCUGGAGACUACAAGUCUGCAAUCAAGGUGACAGCAAGACCACACUCUCUGAAGUUUCUAUAGGAGUAUCUGUUCAUGCUUUCCCCUUAGCCUCUGGUGUUGUUGGCUAAGCAUGGGCAUGGCAUUCCUUGGCUUGUAGACACAUUAUUCCAAUCCCUGCCUCCUUCAUGGCAUCGUGUUUUCCCCAUCGUGUUUUAAGAACACCAUUUGUAUUAGAUUAGGACACACCAGAAUGAUAUCAUCUUAACCAAUAACACAUGGGAAGACCCUUUUUCCAAAUAAGCAUUCACAGUCACCAAGCCUAAGGAUUUCAACAUAUCUUUGGGGACAUACAAUUCUAUCCAUGAGACUAACUCGUCGUAGUUUAUUAUCAUAUGUAUUGUCUAUGUUCCCUGCACUCCAUUAAAAUGUAAGGGCCACAAAAAAGAAAUGUUUCUCCCUUCCUCUGCUGUGUGCCAGCUCCAGGACUGCCUGGCACAUGUGGUUAGGUCCUCCAUAUACCCAGGUGGAAUCAGCCAGCUGGCCCACUGGGCAUGACUGCGGGCAGCCGCCCUCACAAAGCUGCCGGGGUCUGUUGCACAGGUUCUCAUUGUCACUUGUCCAAUGGUGGGCGCUUCUUCCCUGCUGCCUCUUGCACUGUCUUUGCAGUUUGCCUUCAGGCAACCCCUUUGAUUUGAUUCUUAAGCCACCAGACAACUUUUUAUAUUUCGAGUCAGAGUUUUAUUAUUUAUAUAUUUAAUCACAAAUCUUUUUAUGUAAAAGGAGCAAUAUAUUUCUGAAUGCAAAUCAAGAAACAAUAUUGAGAGUAAAAUGCAGUUCUUGAGACCCAGAUUAAGGGUCUUUGCUUAUCAAUAUCUACAGAAAAGCCCAGCAGUUUGCCCUUGGGGCUAACACACACACACACACACACAUUCUCUCUCUCUCUCUCUCUCUCUCUCUCUCUUCCUCCCUCCCUCUGAUUUUGGAGGAGAGAUAAGAUUAGACAUUACACUAUGGUUUUUGAGAUUUUUUACCAUGGAAAAAUGGUUUGCAAUGUAUAUUCCAUGGACUACCCAUGCCAGAAUCAGCCGAACUGGUCAAAAUGCAGAUGUCUGGAGCUCACCCAAUCUACCAAACAUCUACCAAAACUCUUGUUAGGAGCAAGCUCAGGAGUGUAGCUUAAGCAAAUUCCCUGAGCGACUCUUAAGUACAGUGAAGUUUAAAAACUUCUGCCUUAACCAGUAUUCCCAAACUCAGUAAUGUAAGUAUCUGAAGAAAAUCAAAGUGUGUGUGUAUUAGUUACUACUGAGCAACAAGCCACCCUCAAACGCAAUGGCUUUACUGUUUCUCAAAGACAACCUCAGUCACCUGAGUUGUUCUACUGCUCAGAUUGGACAAGGCCAUGGUUGCAAUCAUCUGGCAGGGCUGCAGAAGAGUGCUGCCCUAGAGCUACCACACUUUCACAUGGCUGGCAGAUGGCUGGCUGGCAGCUAGGGUGUCAGGUUCGACGGGCCCAAGUGUCUCGUUACCCAGCAGGCUAGCCCCAGCUUGUUCUUAGCUGGCUGAACAUGGUCUCCAGAAACAAGCAGACGUGCACAGGCUCAGAGCUGGUAUCCCUCACUUCCUCAACAUUCCCUGAGCCCAAGUGAGAGGCAAGGCCUUGAAAAGAGAGCCAUGGGGUGUGGAAGUAGCCUCCAUGUCCUGACUGAAGAAACUGCAGAGGACAUGGGAAACUGGACAGGGAAUAACUGGGGCUGCAUUGUCCAAACCUCUGUCUUCACAAGGCAUUUUUCCAGUGUGUCUCUGGGUCUUCUCCUUUUGUAAGGAUGCCAGUCAUUGGAUUUAGGGUCCAAUCAAAAACCAGGAUGAUUUCAUCUUAAGAUCUUUAACUGAUUGCAUCUGGAAAGACUCCCAUUUCCAAAUAAAGUCAUAUUCUGAGAUCGUGGCUGGACUUGAUUUUGGGGAGGACACCAUUCAAC
Molecule: long non-coding RNA, 2849 nt
Filed under: Marmota monax (woodchuck)
Lineage: Eukaryota; Metazoa; Chordata; Mammalia; Rodentia; Sciuridae
Source: RNAcentral